This 2460-nucleotide long non-coding RNA is filed under the name Olea europaea subsp. europaea. Lineage: Eukaryota; Viridiplantae; Streptophyta; Magnoliopsida; Lamiales; Oleaceae. The record is from RNAcentral.
GAUCUUUAUUACCCAAAAAAUCACGCUUCAAAAUUAAAGUAUUCGGAUGUCCUAGUCUUUUAUGCCAAAUUUCAUGCUUAAUUCCAACAUCAAUACAACCUGAAGAUAUAGUAGUAGGAAUAUUAAAAUUGUAAUGGAAACAAUCUUUCGACUUUAGGCACCUUCACAAUUACUUUCCUCGAUCCUUGAUCUUGUACAAGAUGACCAGCACGAGAGAUGCACAUCACAGUUAUUGUCAACUAAUUGAACAACUGAAAUCAAGUUAGUAGAUAACCUCGAAGAUACAAAAACAUUAUCAAAGGAGGACCCAAUAUCACCAAUAGUAGUAAUUGGGAGGGUGGUGCUAUUAGGGAUCUGAAUGUGUUGUAUGCCAGUAUAACAUCUGAUGUAUUGUAAUGAAUUAGAAAUACUUGUUAUAUGAUUUGACGUCCCCGUAUCAACAAACCAAGGAGAAGAAAUAACUUGACCUUUACCUUGUAAGCCCAAGGCAGAGAAGGUGGAAACAAUCAUCUGCUGAACCGAUUGACUGGUACUUGCUUAGGAGAUUGUGGGAGUAGGUCCCUGAACAUUAGCCUGAAAUGCCCGAGCUUUUCGAUUUGGAGGUCGUAUGGGACAAUCCUUGAUGAGGUGCCUCGGUUGCUUACAAUAAUUGCAAACUUUCUGAGGACAAUUGCGAAUAACAUGACUGUAUCCUUUGCAGGAGAAGCACUGAAGUUUACUUUUUCUCCGUCCUUGCACUGCAUAUGCAACAUUCACAACAUCAAAGGACAUAUUAGCUCCCAUGGCAGUUUGUGUAGCCAUUUGUUGCUCCUCACGUAGAAGUCACCCAUUCAUACAUUUAAAGAGGGAACCGGAUCACGAUUCAAUGAACUCGUCCUAGCGACUUCAAACUCAAGUUGUAAUUUCGUAAGAAACUAAUCCUGCUUACUAACUUCUUGAACCUCUUGAAGAGCCAAUAGAGCCUCUAUAGGGACCUUAGCAUGAAUUAUGUUGGAGUACUCACUCCACAGGCUCAGAAAACCAGAGUAAUAGUGCUCAAUGGUGAGAUUGCCUUGAGUGUAGUUGGCAAUCUGUAACUCCAAUUGAAAUUGCCGUUCAUUGUUGUCCCGAUAAUGGAUUCAUUUUAAGUAUUUCCACAUUUCCAUAGCAGUAGUGAAGGAUAGUAAACUAUUCACCAUAUGCGCCUCCAUAAUACGAGUAUCCUUCGUUUCCCACGCACUAAGAUCCUUAGCAUCUUCAGGUGCUUUAGAAGACACAUCAAUAUGACCCCAAAGCAUCUUUCCUUUCAAAAACAUUUUGAAUUGAAAUUCCCUUGUCGAAUAAUUCUUCCCCGCAAAUUUAACACAAAAAGCUUCAACUGACAUGAUAUUGUAUCAUGAAGGUCAACCAAAUGAACCAAAGUAAAAUUAGCCCACACCAAAUACCAGCCCACAAGUUGGCAGCUCCAAAAAAAAAAAGCUCACACAAUUAUUGGCCCGAUUAGAAUAACCCAAUAAUCCACUCCACACAACUAAGCAGCCCACAAUCCAACAAUGGUUCACCAAAAUCAGUCACGGUAAUAGCCACAAAGAUUGCAAAAUGUAUCUUCAUAUGUAAUCUUUGAUAAUUAUCUAUUGAGAUGUCGUUGAUUAAAUUUUUCCUUGUAUUGCAACCUGGAAGUUGUAGUGAGACCAUUUUACACGGUAUGAUUUAGCAGUACUCUUAUUCUUAUGCCAUGGUGCUACAUCCUGCUAUGUGGAUGAUACGUAGCUGUCGAUAUUUCUUACACGAACUUGUGGACAUCACUUCCACAGAACGAGCUCUAUUGAGGGAGCUGAUUAGUUAGUUUUAUUGUUUCCGUGCCUUUGAUAUGUGCAAGCAUGACAUAACCGUGUAAUUUCCCAUUUUAAAAACUUGUGUUUGUUUAGAUUGGUGGAAAUGGAACAGUUUGGCGCACCAAAUCAUUAUGUUUGUGCCCCUUGUUUUCUUUUUCUUUCUUCAGACUCGACCAGCACGAAGAGAGUGAGAGUUGUGAAAGAAGGAUCGACUGAUAUACAAUACUUGUUGUAUAGUUGCUUUCUUAUCUUUAGUUUUCUACCAUUAAAGUGUAAAUCAACAGAAAUUAAAAGAUUAUUUGUGAUUUUAUGGUCAAAUCAAGUUUGAAACUCCAAAUUUGAAGUCCGUAUAUUUUCAUAAUAGAUGGAAAGAGUACGAUAUCCUUUUCAUACAACUGGAAAAGAUUGAAGUCCAAAUGUGAACCCCGUAUCUUUGUAUGAUAGAUGGAUAGAAUAACCUUAUCAGACAGCUGGACAGGAUUUCCCCGUGUAUUUAUUCCGAAAAAGACGAGGAUUGCACUUGACAAAAACGAGACUUGAAGUAUAUCUCUAGGAACCAUUCAUUGGAAAGUUGUUCGGUCUCCCUCAAUUUGGUGGGGACACCACUAUAAUUUUCUCGAAAUUAAUUUAAAGCUGUGUAAUUGUU